AUAUAAUAUUUAUUUCAUUUAUAAAUUUAUUUAUUUAAAAUAAUAAUAAUGUAAAAAAUUUUAGUAAUAAAAAUAAAAUAAUUUUUAAAAUUAUAAAAAAUGUAUUGUAAAAGAUAAAUUUAUUAAAAUUAAAGAUUAAUUAAAUUUUAGUACCUUUUGUAUCAGGGUUAAUUAAAAAUUUUUAUUUAAAUAAAUUUUUCGAAAUUAAUUGAGCUAAAAUUAUGUAUUAAUUAAUAUGUUAUUAUUAUUAAAAACUUAGUUUUAGAAAUUAAAUGUUAUUCGUAAUUAAUGAUAUCUAAUUUUUUAAUAAAUAAAUUUAAUUUAACAAUUUAUUUUAAUAUUAUUAAUUAAUUAUUUUUACUUAACAAUAAAAUAAAUUGAAAAAUUUUAAGGGAUAAACUUUAAAAUUUAUAUUAAAAUAUAUUUUUAUAAAAACUCUAAUUAAAUAUAAUUUAAAAUUUUAAAUUUCUGAAAAAAUGUAAUAAUUUAAAUUAAAAAUAAUAAAAAAUUUUUGUUAAAAAAAUUUAAUGUUAAUAUUAAAAUAUAAUUUUAAAUUAAUAUAAAUUAAUAAAAAUGAUUAAACUAGUAAAUAAUAUAAUGUUUCAAAUUAUUAAUAAAUAUAAAAGUUAAAUUAAUGAACUAGGCAAAAAAUUAUAUUUACCUGUUUAAUAAAAACAUGUCUUUAAAAUUAAUGAAUUUAAAGUCUAAUCUGCUCAAUGAAUGAAAUUUUAAAUAGCUGCAAUAUUAUGAUUGUACAAAGGUAGUAAAAUAGUUUGUCCUUUAAUUAGGGAAUAUAAUAAAAGAUUUAAUAAAAUAUAAACUAUAUAAAUUUAAUUAAAAAUUAAAAUUUAUUUUUAAGUAAAAAAUCUUAAAUAAUUUUAUUAGACGAUAAGACCCUAUAGAAUUUUAUAAUAACUUUAAUUUAAAUUAAUUAGUGAAUUAUUUAAUUAAACAGAUUAUUUUAUUGGGGGAAUAAAAAAAUUUACUAAUUUUUUUAUUAAUAUUAUUAUUAAUCAAUGAAUUUUAAGAAGAGUGUUAUUUUAUAAAUUAUUAAAUUAAAUUACCUUAGGGAUAACAGCAUAAUUUUUUUAAAAAGACCACAUUUAAAAAAAAGAUUAUGACCUCGAUGUUGAAUUAAGAUAAAUAUUAAAAGAAGAGUUUUAAUUAUUAAGUCUGUUCGACUUUUAAAAUCUUACAUGAUUUGAGUUAAAAUCGGUGUAAGCCAGAUUGGAUUUUAUCUAUAAAUGUAUUAUAAAUAUUUGUACGAAAGGACUAUAUUUAUUAAAUUAAUAAAAUUAAUUAUAAUGAAUAAAAAUAAAAUAAAAAUAAUUUUUUAUAUAUAAAUAUUUCAAAAUAUGAUUA
This 1362-nucleotide ribosomal RNA is filed under the name Oberthuerella sharkeyi. Its description in RNAcentral is "16S ribosomal RNA". Lineage: Eukaryota; Metazoa; Arthropoda; Insecta; Hymenoptera; Liopteridae. The record is from RNAcentral.